This 425-nucleotide ribosomal RNA is filed under the name uncultured bacterium. RNAcentral's name for it is "partial 16S ribosomal RNA". It matches the Rfam family "Bacterial small subunit ribosomal RNA", at positions 354 to 796 of the family's 1533-position model. The record is from RNAcentral.
GUGGGGAAUCUUAGACAAUGGGCGCAAGCCUGAUCUAGCCAUGCCGCGUGAGCGAUGAAGGCCUUAGGGUUGUAAAGCUCUUUCAGCUGGGAAGAUAAUGACGGUACCAGCAGAAGAAGCCCCGGCUAACUCCGUGCCAGCAGCCGCGGUAAUACGGAGGGGGCUAGCGUUGUUCGGAAUUACUGGGCGUAAAGCGCACGUAGGCGGAUCAGAAAGUCAGAGGUGAAAUCCCAGGGCUCAACCUUGGAACUGCCUUUGAAACUCCUGAUCUUGAGGGCGAGAGAGGUGAGUGGAAUUCCGAGUGUAGAGGUGAAAUUCGUAGAUAUUCGGAGGAACACCAGUGGCGAAGGCGGCUCACUGGCUCGAUACUGACGCUGAGGUGCGAAAGCGUGGGGAGCAAACAGGAUUAGAAACCCGUGUAGUCC